RNAcentral lists this transfer RNA (69 nucleotides) under Providencia rettgeri. RNAcentral describes it as "tRNA-Lys". It matches the Rfam family "tRNA". From Rfam's summary of the family: Transfer RNA (tRNA) molecules are approximately 80 nucleotides in length. Their secondary structure includes four short double-helical elements and three loops (D, anti-codon, and T loops). The record is from RNAcentral. Lineage: Bacteria; Pseudomonadati; Pseudomonadota; Gammaproteobacteria; Enterobacterales; Morganellaceae.
GGGUUGUUAGCUCAGUUGGCAGAGUAGGUGACUCUUAAUCACUCGGUCGUGGAUCCCCACAACCCACCA